GGGCGGAGCGGGGCCGAGGAGGUGGAGCGGCAUGGGGCGGAGCGUGACGGGGCGGGAAGGAAGGGAGAGAGACGUGGAUUAGAUGGGAAGGUGAGGUGGUUUAGUGUGUUGUUGUUGUGUUGUGUUGUUGUUAGUGUGGUUCUUGUUUUUUUGUUUUACUUUUGUUUUGGUUAUUUUACUUUUUAUUUUUUUAUUUAGUUUUUUUUUAUAAAUUUGGAUCAUUGGUGUAUUUUUUUUUAUUUCUACUUUACUCUUUUUUUAUCCGUUUUUUUUUCUUUUUUUACUUUAUUUUUUAUAUAUAAUUUUGGAUUAGUUUUUUUUUAAUUUAUACUUUACUCUUUUUUCAUAGUUUGCUUUUGUUUAAUUUUAUUUUUUCCGUUUUCCUUUUGUGUUUUUUUAUUUUAUUUUAUUUAUUUAUUUUAUUUUUUGCAUAACAGCGUCAAGGCAAGUUCAAUUUUUUAUCCCGGGUUUUAGUUUUAUUUUAUUAUUAUUAUUAUUAUAUUUCUUUUUUGCACUACAGGAUCAGCGACAGUGUAAUUUUUUGGGGUUUAAUCUGUUCUUAUUUUAUCUUUUUAUUGAUAUUUAAAUUUUUGCGUUAUGGAAUCGGUGCCAAUUUCAUUUUUUUCAUCAUUAUUUGUGUGUUUGUGUGUUUGUUUUCAGUUUAUUUAUAUAUUUUUUUUAGUGUGUGUGUUUGUGUGUGUGUGUGUGUGUGUGUGUGUGUGUGUGUGUGUGUGUGUGUGUGUGUGUGUGUGUGUGUGUGUGUGUGUGUGUGACGGUAUACAAAGUGAAUACGUAACUCAAAUUGUGGUCAUACUUUUAUAAUCGUGAGCAUCGUUUACUGCGUUUAUUAUUAUUAUUAUUAGUAUUAUUAUUAUUAUUAUUAUUAUUAUUAUUAUUAUUAUUGUUAUUAUUUUUAUUAUUAUUAUUAUCGGAAAGCAACUUCAUCGAUUUCAAAAGCAAGUGUGUUUGAGCUUCAUUUUAAUUCAUGCUCGAGUUUAAUCUUGAUGGGAAAGUCAUAAAAAGAAAGUCAGCUCAAUUAUGAAAGGCGUCUACUUAAUUCAUAUUCAUUCAAGGUUAAUUUUUAAAAGAGUAUAAUUCUAAAAAGUUAAAAAAAUAAAGUUAGCUCAAUUAUGAAAGGCGUCUAUUUAACUCAUAUUCAUUCAAGGUUAAUUUUUAAAAGAGUAUAAUUCUAAAAAGUUAAAAAAAUAAAGUUAGCUCAAUUAUAAAAGCUUCUAUUCAAUUAAUAUCCAUUCGACGUUAAGUUUUAAAAGAGCAAAAUUUUAAAACGUUAAAAAGAAAGUCAGUUUAGUCAUUAUGAAAAAUCGUUAACUUGUAAAAAUGGACUGAACAAGUUAAAAGAAAAAUUCUGACUAACUCCAAACAAUAACAAAGACUUUGAUGAAUUAAAUAAAAAUGUGUAUAAUUAUCUCCAUUUUGUUAUUAUGUUCUUUUAAAGCUCCCCAAAGCAAACAAAAAGUAUAAUUAGUAAUGCCCGGUUAGCACUGCCCCAAAAUCGUGUUAGUACAAAUAUUAAACAGUGAACAGUUAUGUGGAUUUUAACGUCAGUCUGUUUAGUGUUUUGUGUGAAAAUACCCUGUAACUUGCAGACAAAAGGUGUUGGAUCCUGCUUACAUAAAGGUUCAGGAUUCCACACACACGCUUUUGUCCGCAAAUAAAAAAAAAAGGAAAAAAAGGAUAAUGCAACAACCAAAGAAAACUAUAUACAAAUUUCAUGGUAUAACUUACGGAAAAAAAAAAUAAGUGAAAGCAUAAAAUAACACACUUGCAUAGAACCAAAAAAUAUAUACUCACUUCCUUUUAUUAUUUCUUAUGUUAGAUAUUUAUUUGGGUUUAAUUUAUAUUUAGUGCAAGUGUGGUGAACAAGCGUACGUACUUACUGUGGUGCAACUUACGGCCUAGGGUUAGUGUGUGUUUAAAUGGUUGGUUUGGAAGCGGGAAAAACGCAAACAAAAAAACAUGUAUUGGUGAGUCGUUCAAAAAAAAAAAAAAAAAAAAAAAAAAAAACGUGUAUUGGUGAGUCGAGUUUAGUGUGACUUAGGUUUUUAUGGUUUAGUGUUUUGUUAUAUAUGAAGCGUUAAGUGUGAGAGGGUGACCAAGCUAAUUAAGUCGAUAUUUUGUUGUUGUUUUUCUUUCUUUUUCAUAUUUUUUUGCUGUUUUUUUUUCUUUACUUUUUCAUAUUGUUUUAUUUUUUUAUUUGUUCUUCAUAUUGAUUUGUUUUUUUUGUUUUUCAUAUUGAUUUGUUGUUUUUUCUUUCUUUUUCAUAUUGAUUUGUUGAUUUUUCCUCCUUUUUCAUAUUGUGUUGUUUUUUCUUUGUUUUUUAUACCGAUUUGUUGUUUUUUCCUACUUUUUCACAUUUUGUUCUGUUGUUUUUUUCUAUUUUUCAUAUUGAUUUGUUGUUUUGUUUUCUUUUCUUUUUCACUUUUCUUUAUUUUUUUGGCAUCGGGCAUCUGAAUUCUUGCUGGGUCGUGUGGUGACGCAAAUUAAGGAAAAAUCAACCUUAAAAAGAGUGAUUCCUAGGCCUAAAGUUGUAUGAUUUUAACCCACAUUCAGCUGGCGUGGGACGGGCAGAGUCUGGUCGCUUAAAAACACAAUAUCCUUAAGACUAUUAAAACGACAGGUCACCCCCUUAUACACUAAACACCUCAUAUACACUGUGGCUUCAGUCUAUACACAUAUAUAUAUUUUCCUAUCCACACUAACUUGGCAGAUAAGCCCCGCCCACUCCAACCCAGCCUCCACCAAUCACAUGCAGCCUGGGUUGGUGAGGGGGCGGGGUUUACUUGUGGGGCAGCCAAUGGGAUGCUUAAUUGAGGAAGGGGGAGGGGCUUAUGUGCCAAGAUAGGCCCCGCCCACUCCAGCCUUUCCCAGCCUCCACCAAUCACAUGCAGCCUGGGUUGGUGAGGGGGCGUGGCUUACUUGUGGGCCAACCAAUGGGAUGCUUAAUUGAGGAAGGGGGAGGGGCUUAUGUGCCAAGUUAGUGUGGAUAAGGUGUGGGUCUGGUGUCAACUGGUGUAGGAUACGUUGAUUUAGGUCUUUAGUACGCCAGAAUUUUGUGUAUUAUAGGUACGAAGUAUUGUAUUUUUGUUAACGGACCGAUUUAGAUGUUUGUUGUUGCGUGGUUUUGUUUAUUCAAUGUGAUUUUAUGUUAUUAUUAUUUACGGUUAGGCUUUUUUUACGAUCAUGAAUACAGAAAGCGAAUCUAAGCUGUUUUAAGACCGGUUGUGAUAUGGCAUAGUUUUCCUCAUUUAAUAUCUGAGUUUUUAUUGCCAUUAUUUGCAGAGAACUUUUGUGAGCGUGAAUACAAAAACUGAAUGUAAACUGUUUGAAGCCUGGCUGUGAUGUGGUAUAAUUUUCAUCAUUUAAUUCUGGCCCUGAUGUGGUAUAAUUCUCGUCACUUAAUUCCCAAGUUUAUUUCUCGAAUACGUUUCAUGAUCGUGAAUAUAAAAACUGAAUCUAAACUAAGCCUGGUUGCAGUUUGUGGAAUCAGUGUUUACGUGUUCCAUCAAUGCGUCUAAAGUUUUGAUUAGUGGUGUAGGUAGUGGUAUUAACUCUCCUAAGUAUAACAGUGGUGUGGUUAGUGUAUAGUGUAGAUAGUGGUAGUAGUAGUAGUAGUAGCGGUAAUGGUAUUAACUCUUUAAGUAUAGUACUGGUGUGAGUAGUGUAUUGCAUAGAUAGUGGUAGUAGUAAUAGUAGUGGUAGUGGUAUUAACUCUACUUAUAGUUGUAGUGGUGUGGUUAGUGUUGUUUUUGUUGUUGUUGUUGUUGUUGGUGGUGGUGGUAAUAAACUCCCUUCUUAACAUCUAAAGCAAAAUCACUUAUCACUUGCUUCAUCAGUCUCGGGAGAACUUUAAGCAAGCCUUCUAUUUAAGUACGUCCGCGCUUGGCUGUGCUAGCGUGUCCGUGGUCCCGGGUUAAACACACACACACACACACACACGGACACACACGCACAGCCAGGCGGGGCAACACACAAACAUCUAAGAAAACGUAAAAAUGAAACAGUACGACUAGACUAAAAUGAUGCGAGUGCGAGGAAUAAAAAGAGACAAAACCGUACACUAGUCUAUUUUUUGUGCUAGCGGUGCAGAAUCGGAUAAAGUAAAUAAACACAACACCAGACACGAGAGGGAGGCAGAUUCAGCCGUUCCGUUACGUGUGUCAAGCCCUCUCUCGUAAGCUAUGCCGGUGCUGGGACGGGACAGGACAGACACAUGACAGACGAACAUAACACCCAGACGGGACAGUAUAGGCUCUCGUGUCCUAGUCAAGAGAGCUGUAAAGGGGCUAUUAUCCUUAGUCAAACCACGAUUUCCGCUGGCGUGGUUCUCAUAUGUCCGUGGUUUUCUGGCGUGUCCACGAUCUUCCAAAGCUACGGUAGAUUUCACUGAAGGACGACGGUAUUACUCACCAUCAUCAUCAGCAGCAAUAAUGAGAAAAAUUAGAACCACGCUAGCGGAAAUCGUGGUUUGACUGAAGAUCCACGGAAAAUUUGCCCAGUGUAAUAGCCACUUAAGUCAGACAAGCCAGGCAUUACGAGGCACUGCUGUAGUGAAUUAUAGAUGGAAAAUAACAAAAAAAAAAAUUAGGCAAGGCAAGGAAAGUUUAACGUUAGCGAUCUAGUUCUACGCCAGGAGAAGCGGAAUGUUAUUAAUUACAGAACAGGUGAGUUAGUAUAUAAGGUGCGUAGCGUGUAUUUAUACGUACAGGUGUAACAGCGGACAUUCUCCAUAUAACGUCAUUACUUCUUUGGGGUCAGGCUUUCGCGACUUACGGCAAGAACUCCACGUUUUUAUUUAUUUUACGUAAUGCAUUGUAAAUAUUAUGAAUCGGACACACACACACACACACAGAGUAAAGGGAAAGGUCCGACUUGAGACAUGACACAAUACCCUCUUUCUUUCACAUGUAUACUUCUUAAUCAGUCACAUAUUUCACUAUAGGGGCAAAAUGAGUGACUCUGAAGGGGGGCAAGAGGCGACGGGGGUGGUGGGGGGGAGGAGGGGAAGGGGCGCAGAGAAUGACGUUAGACAAAGACGCAGCGUUACACCCGAUACAAAACAAGUGGUAUUAUAAAAAAAAUCCAGUUGUCAUUUAGCUCCAGGCACCAAAUCUAUCUACUCGUACAACUGCAUGCAUGUUAGCUACCAGAGGAGGAGGAGGAGGAGGAGGAGGAUAAAUAAGCUGAAAUAUGGAAUGGAGGAAGAGGAAGAGGAGGCAGAGAGGACUAUAUUAAGAGGAGGAGAGGGAACGUUCGGAUUCAUAAUUAUGAGGAGGAGGAGGAGGAAGGGGAGGAGGAUAAUAGAAGAGGAGGCAGAGAAGACUAUAUUAAGAGGAGGAGGAAGAGGAGGAGAGGGAACGUUCGGAUUCAAAUGAGCAGCAGGAGGAGGAAGGGGAGGAGGAUAAUAGAAGGGGAGGCAGAGAAGACUAUAUUAAGAGGAGGAGGAAGAGGAGGAGAGCAGGAGGAGGAAGCCAGAAUUAACAUCAGAAAGCAUUAUCACACAAACACGACCUCUGGCAUCUCUCAAUAUUUUUCCACCAUUACGAGACGCUUCUGGGAAUUGUGUCGAGUCUCCGUACCUCUCUCCUCCAUCUCACGUCCACGGAGAAACUGCACAACUACCCCAAGACUCUCUCACCGGUAAUUAACACACAGAAAUGCCAGAAGAAACAUGUUCGUGUGAAUCUACGGUCCAUAUUUUCAGACUUUCGGGAGCUCACACACCUUCAUUUGACAAGGCUUUGGUAGAGGUUGUUGUGUUGGUGUUUCCAUGGGUAGUUUUAUGAGCCUAGUGAUAGUUUGGCAAGGCUUUGGUAGAGGUUGUUGUGUUGGUGUUUCCAUGGGUAGUUUUGUGAGCCUAGUGAUAGUUUGGCAAGGCUUUGGUAGAGGUUGUUGUGUUGGUGUUUCCAUGGGUAGUUUUGUGAGCCUAGUGAUAGUUUGGCAAGGCUUUGGUAGAGGUUGUUGUGUUGGUAUUUCCAUGGGUAGUUUUGUGAGCCUAGUGAUAGUUUGGCAAGGCUUUGGUAGAGGUUGUUGUGUUGGUGUUUCCAUGGGAAGUUUUGUGAGCCUAGUGAUAGUUUGAUAAGGCUUUGGUAGAGGUUGUUGUGUUGGUGUUUCCAUGGGUAAUUUUAUGAGCCUAGUAAUAGUUUGGUAAGGCUUUGAUAGAGGUUGUUGUGUGGGUAUUUCCAAGGGUAGUUUUACGAGCUCAGUGAUAGUUUGACAAGGCUUCCACACCAUGAACAUAAAAACACACUCAUGGAAACCCAACUACCCUCCUCUGUGGCCUUGGAAAAUAAAGCCGUGAGACCCAAAAGCCGAGAACACGAACACAGACAAAAGGUUUCAGAAUCACAGCAAAGAGCGGUAUAGAGUGAAGCGAUUGCAGUUAGCGAGUUAGAAGCUGGAGUUAGAGGAUUAGAGUCCGGGUUUAUGGAGGAAUUAGAGCAAGAAUCGGCUCUACAAGACUA
Long non-coding RNA from Eriocheir sinensis (Chinese mitten crab), 6482 nucleotides. RefSeq lists it as uncharacterized. Lineage: Eukaryota; Metazoa; Arthropoda; Malacostraca; Decapoda; Varunidae. The transcript is spliced from 3 exons. The record is from RefSeq and is a predicted model, not a curated record.